Long non-coding RNA from Rhincodon typus (whale shark), 3297 nucleotides. RefSeq lists it as uncharacterized. NCBI's taxonomy places the organism in Eukaryota, Metazoa, Chordata, Chondrichthyes, Orectolobiformes, Rhincodontidae. The transcript has 2 exons. The record is from RefSeq and is a predicted model, not a curated record.
GGAAGGUGGCUUCCUGUCAACUGCCAUUCAACAAUUCCAAGAAAGGAAAUUCUAAACAGUGGCUGGAGGUGGGGGAAGGGCGCAAAAUCAAGAACGAAUGUUCUCCGCCUCCCACCUCAACCCAGAGCUUAAGGCCUGCUGAUUAGACCAAUUAUCAUUACUUAAUAAGUUUUCAAUACUGCUCUACUCAAACAGAACAAAAAAAUUUAGUGACACCACAAAGGACUCAAGGAACAACUGUGCGGAUUCAAGUUUCCAUUACGGAACCCAACCUGAAAUUGGAGCCUCAGCCUAAGUAUGCAGCAUUCAAGGAGUGAGGAUGUAACAGCAUGUGUGCGAAGGCACUGGCACGAUAAAAAAAUACCUGCACGUGAGUCCAUUAGAGUGGAGAUGGUUUGGACAGAUCACCUUUCUCGAUCUUGCCCAUCUGCUCCCACUGGCUUAACAAGAUGACUGGAAUUGUGUUGGCUGCACUCGAUGAUCUACAGCGCCUCUGCACCCAUGCUGACAAACUUUGCAUUGCACACACUGCUGUGCUACAAUGCUUCCAGUACCACUAAGGCAAUACCAUUUCCUCUGCUGAUUCCAUCAAGGCAGCUAUUUGUUUUUUCGUGCAUUUAGGAAACAGUGAUUGGAAAUGGAUAGUCUCCUUCUUGCAUGGACACCAGCUCAUGUGGUCUUCUCUCCUGUUUGUCCUUUGGACAACAUAACUGCAGGGAUGUGGCUGCUGCCUUGCACAAGCAGCUAUGUGAAGCUAUAGCGGAGAGCUGGAUGAUUGUCAGGGACCAUUUUCAGUUAUCCAUUUAGCUCUGAAGUAGGACUGCGGUUGACUACUGUAAAAGGGGCUACUUCCGACACAUACUUCAACAUCUAUAUACAGGAGGCAUUCAUAAAUAUUUGCUGCAUCUUGGUACAACAGCGGGGCAUUAGUGAAAAAUUCCAGCCUUGACAUUUCUAUAUCUUAAGCCUUCGGUCUACUGAAUUUAAUCACUCUCUAGGUCAAGUCUUUCAGUUUCACCCCUCUACCCUGCAACAGAAUCUCUUCUCUCCCAAACAUUGCCUUAUUACACAAAAGGAGACAAGUUUACCUGAGACAUUUCAGGUUGUAUGGGUUGACAGUGGGUUUGAGUCAAAGAAAAAGGCAAAUUGACAUCAAACCUACUGAAUUAGAACCUUUGCCCCAAGUAAAUAAGCUCCAAAUGAUCCCACUAAAAGGAGAGGUUCACAACAAAAACUCCUUUACUAAAUAUUGCUGAGACAACACAAUGCAUGUUUCACUGUACAGAAUGCUUGAGAUGUUCCGGUACACUCAGUGACUAUAUAAAUUCAAGGGUUAUUGUUUUAACUGCGAUUCCUGAAUUUACUGCAGUUACAUUGGAUCAGUGGCAGGUUUGAUGGAUUGUUCCCUCUUGGUCAAACAAGGCCCCAUUUGCACCAACUGGUUACCUCCCUCCAGUGACCUCUUCCAGCAAGGAAAAAUAAUCAAUUACAGAUGGAAGUGAAGUACUGAGGUAGUCUGCGGUUCUGGUUCUGAUAUGGACAGAAACAAAAUACUUUAGACGGACCCACAGAUCAUUGCUUAGCACGAUCCCAGCUUCAGGCAGUGCCCACACACCACAUGGUUCAAUUAGCAGUCUGUAUCCUAACUGCAUUGUAACUCUCCUGAUCCUUGGCCACCAGACAGCACAUUUCAGCACCAAGUAAGAGGAGCUGCCUGUUUUUUUGUUUAUUUGUUUUGAACAGAAAGUCAUCACCUAGCAAUGGGUGACAGAGUGGAGUCACUAUGGAACCUUUGCCAGGAAUCUCAGCUCAGGAAUGAUGUUGAAGAGCAGAAGGUAAAAUAAUUGUGGACUCAGAUCAGACUUGAGUUAUAACUUGCAUUAUAGUUUAUUCAUCUUCUUGAGUCUCAUUAAAACAUAUGUAUACAUUAGGCAUGAGUACAGGCGAAUGCACCUACAGUACAGUGUCCAGAUUUUUUUCUUCUUUUCUGUUUCCAAAAAUAAGUCCUGUUGCACUCAGUGAGACAAAACACUCAAAAAUAAAAACCGUGGGAACUGCUCCAGUCAGUCAACAAAGACCAAAGCAGCAUUGUGUGAGACAGAGCCAAAGAGAAACUUCAAAUUUCAAAGUGGCAACAGUUUUUGUCAAAGCACCCAGAAAGGAUUUAUCAGUUCAUACUGUUACAUGUGCAACUGUCCUUAAGCUGCAGUCAGAGAAUGAAUUGGUGAUGCUUCAUCCCACCUCACCCCAGUUUCUUAAAGGAACAUUUUGUUAACCAAUCAGGGCACCAUGAUAUGGAGAGGGCCACUGUAAUCUUUCAAUGUACAGGCUGACCUGUUUUCCAUGUCUGUCUAAUGCAUAUUUAUUUUUACCCCUACUCUCAAGAACAACCAAAAUUGACCACAAUCAUAAAAUAAGCAAAUUAAUCAUACCCCAAAUCUCACACAAUAAUUUAAUAUUAGAUGGAACAGUGAUUCUGGCUUCAGGACUGGUAACACACUAGAUAGGUUAGGGAGUAUGAAGGGCUUUGACUGAUGGUGGAAAGGCUCUGCAGCAGAUAAGAGAUCAUUCCUUUCACCUCUUUAUUCACUGUUUGAAUCCCAGGACAGAAUAGCAGCCAUUGAGAGCACUGUAUAAUGAAGCAGCUCAGGAUAGUCAUGGUUGGUGCUAGGAGUGAAUGAAAACAAAUCUAUAGAACCUUGAGUGCUUAAUACAUAAACCAAAGUAAUAAUUGUGAAGUUUCUAAGGUAAGUUUAGAUUUAAUGGUUAGAGAGGGCUGGAGCAUGAAAAUAUGGCAACGUGAAUUUCCUGGAGAAAGAAUAGCACACAGAGCAAGGGAUAGAUUAAAAGACUUUUCUGAAACACAAAUGAGGCGGAUUGAGAGAAAUGAAGUGCCAAGGCACCUUAUAUGGCAACUGAUAGAGUGAUGGCUGAUUAGUGAGGCUGGAGCUGAUUAUUUGUCCGGAGUAGGGGAAUGGAAGAUACAGGUUGGAUAUGCGGUUGAAGUCAAUAACUGAAAUAAAAAUGGGUGAGAGGGUAAAGGAAUUUGGAUAUGAGAUUAAAAUAAGUAUUGUUUAAAAAAUACACCAAAAAACGUCCCAAAUUUUACUCUCACAAAGCAAACUAAUUAAUAAAUGUCUGCCAGCAGAUGACAGAUGGGGAUGCAGGUCUAUGACAGAUUAUGCAACACUCUACCGUGGGAACAACAGCAUGUUACAAGACGCUUCAAUGUACCAGUACAAUGUUUGUAAGGGCAGUGAAAUAUCCCAACACCAUUAAACUUGUUGAACAACUUUA